RNAcentral lists this ribosomal RNA (502 nucleotides) under uncultured bacterium. Its description in RNAcentral is "bacterial SSU rRNA". It matches the Rfam family "Bacterial small subunit ribosomal RNA", at positions 8 to 502 of the family's 1533-position model. The record is from RNAcentral.
AGAGUUUGAUCCUGGCUCAGAUUGAACGCUGGCGGCAUGCCUAACACAUGCAAGUCGAACGGAAACGAUGCUAGCUUGCUAGCAGGCGUCGAGUGGCGGACGGGUGAGUAAUGCAUAGGAAUCUACCUAGUAGCGGGGGACAACCUGGUGAAAACCAGGCUAAUACCGCAUAAUCCCUACGGGGCAAAGCAGGGGACCUUCGGGCCUUGCACUAUUAGAUGAGCCUAUGUCGGAUUAGCUAGUUGGUGAGGUAAUGGCUCACCAAGGCAACGAUCCGUAGCUGGUUUGAGAGGAUGAUCAGCCACACUGGGACUGAGACACGGCCCAGACUCCUACGGGAGGCAGCAGUGGGGAAUAUUGCACAAUGGACGCAAGUCUGAUGCAGCAAUGCCGCGUGUGUGAAGAAGGCCUUAGGGUUGUAAAGCACUUUCAGUAGGGAGGAAAAGUUCAAGGUUAAUAACCUUGGGCCCUGACGUUACCUACAGAAGAAGUUCCGCUAACU